GAUGAACGCUGGCGGCGUGCCUAAUACAUGCAAGUCGAGCGAACAGACGAGGAGCUUGCUCCUCUGACGUUAGCGGCGGACGGGUGAGUAACACGUGGAUAACCUACCUAUAAGACUGGGAUAACUUCGGGAAACCGGAGCUAAUACCGGAUAAUAUAUUGAACCGCAUGGUUCAAUAGUGAAAGACGGUUUUGCUGUCACUUAUAGAUGGAUCCGCGCCGCAUUAGCUAGUUGGUAAGGUAACGGCUUACCAAGGCGACGAUGCGUAGCCGACCUGAGAGGGUGAUCGGCCACACUGGAACUGAGACACGGUCCAGACUCCUACGGGAGGCAGCAGUAGGGAAACGUCCGCAAUGGGCGAAAGCCUGGCGGAGCAACGCCGCGUGAGUGAUGAAGGGCUUCGGAUCGUAAAACUCUGUUAUUAGGGAAGAACAAAUGUGUAAGUAACUAUGCACGUCUUGACGGUACCUAAUCAGAAAGCCACGGCUAACUACGUG
RNAcentral lists this ribosomal RNA (497 nucleotides) under uncultured bacterium. Its description in RNAcentral is "partial 16S ribosomal RNA". It matches the Rfam family "Bacterial small subunit ribosomal RNA", at positions 28 to 507 of the family's 1533-position model. The record is from RNAcentral.